Molecule: ribosomal RNA, 447 nt
Filed under: uncultured bacterium
Lineage: Bacteria
Description: bacterial SSU rRNA
Rfam family: Bacterial small subunit ribosomal RNA
Source: RNAcentral
UAGGGAAUUUUCCACAAUGGACGAAAGUCUGAUGGAGCAACGCCGCGUGCAGGAUGAAGGCUCUAGGGUCGUAAACUGCUUUUAUAUGUGAAGACUUCGACGGUAGCAUAUGAAUAAGCCACGGCUAACUACGUGCCAGCAGCCGCGGUAAUACGUAGGUGGCAAGCGUUGUCCGGAUUUAUUGGGUUUAAAGGGUGCGUAGGUGGCCCUGUAAGUCAGUGGUGAAAUAUCUCAGCUUAACUGAGAGGGUGCCAUUGAUACUGCAGGGCUUGAGUACAGAUGAGGUAGGCGGAAUUGACGGUGUAGCGGUGAAAUGCAUAGAUAUCGUCAAGAACACCGAUAGCGAAGGCAGCUUACCAAGCUGUAACUGACACUGAGGCACGAAAGUGUGGGGAUCAAACAGGAUUAGAUACCCCUGUAGUCCCUGAGCGGGCUGGCAAGGCGCAU